GAAUUGAUAGCUCAGCUGGUAGAGCAUUCGGCUUUUAACUGAUCGGUCCUGGGUUCGAAUCCCAGUCAAUUCA
RNAcentral lists this transfer RNA (73 nucleotides) under Euglenaformis proxima. RNAcentral describes it as "tRNA-Lys". It matches the Rfam family "tRNA". From Rfam's summary of the family: Transfer RNA (tRNA) molecules are approximately 80 nucleotides in length. Their secondary structure includes four short double-helical elements and three loops (D, anti-codon, and T loops). Further hydrogen bonds mediate the characteristic L-shaped molecular structure. tRNAs have two regions of fundamental functional importance: the anti-codon, which is responsible for specific mRNA codon recognition, and the 3' end, to which the tRNAs corresponding amino acid is attached (by aminoacyl-tRNA synthetases). tRNAs cope with the degeneracy of the genetic code in two manners: having more than one tRNA (with a specific anti-codon) for a particular amino acid; and 'wobble' base-pairing, i.e. permitting non-standard base-pairing at the 3rd anti-codon position. Lineage: Eukaryota; Euglenozoa; Euglenophyceae; Euglenales; Euglenaceae. The record is from RNAcentral.